RNAcentral lists this long non-coding RNA (613 nucleotides) under Homo sapiens (human). RNAcentral's name for it is "non-protein coding lnc-TEFM-9:1". Lineage: Eukaryota; Metazoa; Chordata; Mammalia; Primates; Hominidae. The record is from RNAcentral.
GCACGGUGGUUCAUGCUUGUAAUCCCAGCACUUUGGGAGGCUGAGGCGGGUGGAUCACUUGAGCCCAGGAGUUCAAGACCAGCCUGGGCAAGAUAAUGAGACCCCAUCUCAAAAAAAAAGUUAUUAGAAAGUAAUCCAGGUAGGAAUGGUAAAGGCGGUGGCUGGUAAAGAUGAGGCAGGGCUGAUUUUAAGAGAUUUUGAGCCAGGCACAAUGGCUCACACCUGUAAUCCCAGCACUUUGGGAGCCUAGACAGGAGAGGAGGAUCAUUUGAGGUAAGGAGUUCGAGACCAGUCUGGGCAAUGUAGUGAGAUUGUCUCUAAUUUUUUUAAAAAAAAAUAGCUAGGCGUGCUGAGCACAGUGGCUCACACCUGUAAUCCCAGCACUUUGGGAGGCCGAGGUGGGUGGAUCACAAGGUCAGGAGUUCAAGACCAGCUUGGCCAAGAUGGUGAAACCCCAUCUCUAUUAAAAAUAGAAAACUUAGCCGGGUAUGGUGGCGGGCACCUGUAAUCCUAGCUACUUGGGACGCUGAAGCAGAGAACUGCUUGAACCCGGGAGGCGGAGGUUGCAGUGAGCCGAGAUCAUGCCAGGUAACAGUGUGAGACUCCGUCUCAA